Molecule: ribosomal RNA, 780 nt
Filed under: uncultured bacterium
Lineage: Bacteria
Description: bacterial SSU rRNA
Rfam family: Bacterial small subunit ribosomal RNA
Source: RNAcentral
GCAGUCGACGGUAACAGGAAUUAGCUUGCUAAUUUGCUGACGAGUGGCGCACGGGUGCGUAACGCGUAUGCAACUUACCCCUAACAGGAGGAUAGCCUUUCGAAAGGAAGAAUAAUACUCCAUAAUAUUUAUAUGUGGCAUCACAUAUUUAUUAAAACUACGGUGGUUAGGGAUGGGCAUGCGUCCUAUUAGUUAGUUGGUGAGGUAACGGCUCACCAAGGCGAUGAUAGGUAGGGGGCCUGAGAGGGUUAUCCCCCACACUGGUACUGAGACACGGACCAGACUCCUACGGGAGGCAGCAGUGAGGAAUAUUGGUCAAUGGACGGAAGUCUGAACCAGCCAUGCCGCGUGCAGGAAGACUGCCCUAUGGGUUGUAAACUGCUUUUAUAUAGGAAUAAACCCCUCAACGAGUUGGGGGCUGAAUGUACUAUAAGAAUAAGCACCGGCUAACUCCGUGCCAGCAGCCGCGGUAAUACGGAGGGUGCAAGCGUUAUCCGGAUUUAUUGGGUUUAAAGGGUCCGCAGGCGGGAGAAUAAGUCAGUGGUGAAAUCCUAUCGCUUAACGAUAGAACUGCCAUUGAUACUGUUUUUCUUGAGUGUAGUUGAAGUUGGCGGAAUGUGUCAUGUAGCGGUGAAAUGCAUAGAUAUGACACAGAACACCGAUUGCGAAGGCAGCUAACUAAACUAUAACUGACGCUCAUGGACGGAAGCGUGGGGAGCGAACAGGAUUAGAUACCCUGGUAGUCCACGCUGUAAACGAUGAUUACUCGGUGUUGGCGAU